RNAcentral lists this ribosomal RNA (686 nucleotides) under uncultured Lycoperdon. RNAcentral's name for it is "eukaryotic LSU rRNA". The stretch from base 272 to 425 matches the Rfam family "5.8S ribosomal RNA". Lineage: Eukaryota; Fungi; Basidiomycota; Agaricomycetes; Agaricales; Lycoperdaceae. The record is from RNAcentral.
CAUUAUUGAAUAUUCCUGAUGAGUUGUAGCUGGCUCUUUGGAGCAUGUGCACGCUUGUCUUGAUCUUAUUCAUCCACCUGUGCACAUUUUGUAGUCUUUUGGGCUGAGUCGAGUAUCGGAUGGAUGUCUAUCCGGAUGUGAGGACUGCUGAGUGCGAAAGCAUACGGCUCUUCUCUGUUUGACCUCACCCUUGAGUACUAUGUAUUCAUAUACCACAUAGUAUGUUGUAGAAUGUGAUCAUUGGGCCUUUGUGCCUAUAAUAAUCAUAUACAACUUUCAGCAACGGAUCUCUUGGCUCUCGCAUCGAUGAAGAACGCAGCGAAAUGCGAUAAGUAAUGUGAAUUGCAGAAUUCAGUGAAUCAUCGAAUCUUUGAACGCACCUUGCGCUCCUUGGUAUUCCGAGGAGCAUGCCUGUUUGAGUGUCAUUAAAUUCUCAACCCCACUAGCUUUUGUGAGCUAUGCUGGGGCUUGGAUGUUGGGAGUUUGCGGGCCUUUACUAGGUCGGCUCUCCUGAAAUACAUUAGCGGAACCGUUUGCAGUCCCGUCACUAGUGUGAUAAUUAUCUACACUGUGAUGACUGCUCUCUGACUAGUUCAGCUGCUAAUCGUCCACUGUGGACAAUCAUUAAUGAACUUCUUGACCUCAAAUCAGGUAGGACUACCCGCUGAACUUAAGCAUAUCAAUAA